CGCGUGUACUGGUCCGGCCGGGCCUUUCCUUCUGGAGAUCCCCAUGCCCUUCACUGGGUGUGUGGGGGAACCAGGACUUUUACUUUGAAAAAAUUAGAGUGUUCAAAGCAGGCCUUUGCUCGAAUACGUUAGCAUGGAAUAAUAGAAUAGGACGUGCGGUCCUAUUUUGUUGGUUUCUAGGACCGCUGUAAUGAUUAAUAGGGAUAGUCGGGGGCAUCAGUAUUCAAUUGUCAGAGGUGAAAUUCUUGGAUUUAUUGAAGACUAACUACUGCGAAAGCAUUUGCCAAGGAUGUUUUCAUUAAUCAGUGAACGAAAGUUAGGGGAUCGAAGACGAUCAGAUACCGUCGUAGUCUUAACCGUAAACUAUGCCGACUAGGGAUCGGGCGAUGUUUCUUUCUUGACUCGCUCGGCACCUUACGAGAAAUCAAAGUUUUUGGGUUCUGGGGGGAGUAUGGUCGCAAGGCUGAAACUUAAAGAAAUUGACAGAAGGGCACCACCAGGCGUGGAGCCUGCGGCUUAAUUUGACUCAACACGGGGAAACUCACCAGGUCCAGAUGAAAUAAGGAUUGACAGAUUGAGAGCUCUUUCUUGAUUUUUCAGGUGGUGGUGCAUGGCCGUUCUUAGUUGGUGGAGUGAUUUGUCUGCUUAAUUGCGAUAACGAACGAGACCUUAACCUGCUAAAUAGCCAGGCUAGCUUUGGCUGGUCGCCGGCUUCUUAGAGGGACUAUCGG
This 731-nucleotide ribosomal RNA is filed under the name uncultured eukaryote. RNAcentral describes it as "SSU rRNA". It matches the Rfam family "Eukaryotic small subunit ribosomal RNA", at positions 670 to 1426 of the family's 1831-position model. The record is from RNAcentral.